Ornithorhynchus anatinus (platypus) is the source of this 137-nucleotide small nucleolar RNA. The record is from RefSeq and is a predicted model, not a curated record. Lineage: Eukaryota; Metazoa; Chordata; Mammalia; Monotremata; Ornithorhynchidae.
CCCCUCUCAGGGUCGCUACUGGAGAGUUUCCAGUACUCUACCAGUCUUGACUAUGGGAGGGAAAGACAAGCAGAGGAAUAUCCAUUUAUUCCCAGCUUGGACAGUGGCUAGCGAGUGGAAGGCAAUCUGCUACAAGU